Molecule: long non-coding RNA, 493 nt
Organism: Acanthochromis polyacanthus (spiny chromis)
Lineage: Eukaryota; Metazoa; Chordata; Actinopteri; Pomacentridae
Exons: 3
Source: RefSeq, a predicted model, not a curated record
UUUACACUGCCAGACAAAAUACAGUCCUGAUAAAACAGAAACUCUAGAGUGGAGGUAUUUUUUUUAAAAAAGAAGAAGGGAAAGAAUGAAGCAGUGUGAGGUGAGAUGCAGGUGAAGAAUUGGAGAUAGAAGGACAAGACGAAGGUGAAAACAAAAAACAGUGCAAGAGAAAGAACUGGAGGAGGAGCUCGGCUGGAGUUGCAUUCCAACGCGUCGCUCUCAAUCCCUGUUACUCCCGGCAACACAGUUCCUUGAUCUGGUCCCACGUCAUGCCGGGCGAAAGAGGAGGAGGAGGAAGGAGGUGAAGGUGGGAGUGAGUUGAAGACACGAUGGAUGAAAUAACGGCCCGCUGGCCAGCAGGCAGAUGGGUCCCCCUACAUAAAGAGCCGGGUUCUGCUCAAGGUUUCUUCCCUGUUAAAAGGUUUUUUUUCUUAUCACUGUCACCUUAGGGCUUGCUCUGGGGGUUCAGACAUAUGGGUUCUGUAAAGCGUCU